Molecule: ribosomal RNA, 1157 nt
Filed under: marine metagenome
Description: bacterial SSU rRNA
Rfam family: Bacterial small subunit ribosomal RNA
Source: RNAcentral
GCAGCAGUGGGGAAUUUUCCGCAAUGGGCGAAAGCCUGACGGAGCAACGCCGCGUGAGGGACGAAGGCCUCUGGGCUGUAAACCUCUUUUCUCAAGGAAGAAGAUAUGACGGUACUUGAGGAAUAAGCCACGGCUAAUUCCGUGCCAGCAGCCGCGGUAAUACGGGAGUGGCAAGCGUUAUCCGGAAUUAUUGGGCGUAAAGCGUCCGCAGGCGGCCUUUCAAGUCUGCUGUUAAAGCGUGGAGCUUAACUCCAUCAUGGCAGUGGAAACUGAAAGGCUUGAGUAUGGUAGGGGCAGAGGGAAUUCCCGGUGUAGCGGUGAAAUGCGUAGAUAUCGGGAAGAACACCAGUGGCGAAGGCGCUCUGCUGGGCCAUUACUGACGCUCAUGGACGAAAGCCAGGGGAGCGAAAGGGAUUAGAUACCCCUGUAGUCCUGGCCGUAAACGAUGAACACUAGGUGUCGGGGGAAUCGACCCCUUCGGUGUCGUAGCUAACGCGUUAAGUGUUCCGCCUGGGGAGUACGCACGCAAGUGUGAAACUCAAAGGAAUUGACGGGGGCCCGCACAAGCGGUGGAGUAUGUGGUUUAAUUCGAUGCAACGCGAAGAACCUUACCAGGGUUUGACAUCCUGCGAACCUCUUAGAAAUUUGAGGGUGCCUUCGGGAAUGCAGUGACAGGUGGUGCAUGGCUGUCGUCAGCUCGUGUCGUGAGAUGUUGGGUUAAGUCCCGCAACGAGCGCAACCCACGUUUUUAGUUGCCAGCAUUUAGUUGGGCACUCUAGAAAGACCGCCGGUGAUAAACCGGAGGAAGGUGUGGAUGACGUCAAGUCAUCAUGCCCCUUACACCCUGGGCUACACACGUACUACAAUGCUACGGACAAAGGGCAGCAAACUCGCGAGAGCUAGCAAAUCCCAUAAACCGUGGCUCAGUUCAGAUCGUAGGCUGCAACUCGCCUACGUGAAGUAGGAAUCGCUAGUAAUCGCAGGUCAGCAUACUGCGGUGAAUACGUUCCCGGGCCUUGUACACACCGCCCGUCACACCAUGGAAGUUGGCCAUGCCCGAAGUCGUUACUCCAACCCUUGUGGAGGAGGACGCCGAAGGUGGGGCUAAUGACUGGGGUGAAGUCGUAACAAGGUAGCCGUACCGGAAGGUGCGGCUG